CAAUAUUAAACCUUUUUUAUCGAGCUUCUAAUAAAAAGUGAAGGUUUUCAAGCACUAUAAAUUAUUUUAGACCUUCGUCGUGGUGAGGGGUAGGUUAAACGCCUGCUUCGGCAAACUGUAUGGUUUGACUGAAACGAUCUCAACGCCCCUCCGGUUGGAACAUAUAGUCGUGAGUAUCUCACAUGACUCCUCAACCUGUCUACCCCUGACCGUCCAUAAUGGAGUAACAUAGCCAGGAGUCACGUAUUAUCAUGACUCUUAAACUCGUCUUCUCCUGCGGUCAUGGAGGACACCUCUAUUUGAAACAGAAGUGGUAGCAAAUUUGUGCCACAGAUCACCACUCAGUCCUAUAGUACAUGUUCCAUCACCUUAAUGCCCCCACUAGAGUUACAAGCUAGCGCUACC
RNAcentral lists this long non-coding RNA (405 nucleotides) under Phaseolus vulgaris (common bean). RNAcentral describes it as "long non-coding RNA (PVUL_LNC004047)". The record is from RNAcentral. Lineage: Eukaryota; Viridiplantae; Streptophyta; Magnoliopsida; Fabales; Fabaceae.